GAUGAACGCUGGCGGCGUGCUUAACACAUGCCAGUCGAACGAUGAAGCCCAGCUUGCUGGGUGGAUUAGUGGCGAACGGGUGAGUAACACGUGAGUAACCUGCCCUUAACUCUGGGAUAAGCCUGGGAAACUGGGUCUAAUACCGGAUAGGAGCGUCCACCGCAUGGUGGGUGUUGGAAAGAUUUAUCGGUUUUGGAUGGACUCGCGGCCUAUCAGCUUGUUGGUGAGGUAAUGGCUCACCAAGGCGACGACGGGUAGCCGGCCUGAGAGGGUGACCGGCCACACUGGGACUGAGACACGGCCCAGACUCCUACGGGAGGCAGCAGUGGGGAAUAUUGCACAAUGGGCGCAAGCCUGAUGCAGCGACGCCGCGUGAGGGAUGACGGCCUUCGGGUUGUAAACCUCUUUCAGUAGGGAAGAAGCGAAAGUGACGGUACCAGCAGAAGAAGCACCGGCUAACUACGUG
RNAcentral lists this ribosomal RNA (466 nucleotides) under uncultured bacterium. Its description in RNAcentral is "partial 16S ribosomal RNA". It matches the Rfam family "Bacterial small subunit ribosomal RNA", at positions 28 to 507 of the family's 1533-position model. The record is from RNAcentral.